UACGGGGGGGGCAAGCGUUGUUCGGAAUUACUGGGCGUAAAGGGCUCGUAGGCGGCCAACUAAGUCGGACGUGAAAUCCCUCGGCUUAACCGGGGAACUGCGUCCGAUACUGGAUGGCUUGAGUUUGGGAGAGGGAUGCGGAAUUCCAGGUGUAGCGGUGAAAUGCGUAGAUAUCGAGAGGAAUACCAACGGCGAAGGCAGGUCACUGGGCAGUUACUGACACUGAGGCACGAAGGCCAGGGGAGCAAACGGG
This 253-nucleotide ribosomal RNA is filed under the name uncultured bacterium. RNAcentral's name for it is "partial 16S ribosomal RNA". It matches the Rfam family "Bacterial small subunit ribosomal RNA", at positions 524 to 776 of the family's 1533-position model. The record is from RNAcentral.